GGCCUCGUGGCCCAAUGGCAAGGCGUCUGACUACGAGAAAGAGUUAAUUCCCACGAUUGACUCUUCAUGAUAAUCAGGAGAUUCUGGGUUCGACCCCCAGCGAGGUCA
Molecule: transfer RNA, 108 nt
Filed under: Xylaria cubensis
Lineage: Eukaryota; Fungi; Ascomycota; Sordariomycetes; Xylariales; Xylariaceae
Also listed under: 1 other name
Description: tRNA-Arg
Rfam family: tRNA
About the family: Transfer RNA (tRNA) molecules are approximately 80 nucleotides in length. Their secondary structure includes four short double-helical elements and three loops (D, anti-codon, and T loops). Further hydrogen bonds mediate the characteristic L-shaped molecular structure. tRNAs have two regions of fundamental functional importance: the anti-codon, which is responsible for specific mRNA codon recognition, and the 3' end, to which the tRNAs corresponding amino acid is attached (by aminoacyl-tRNA synthetases). tRNAs cope with the degeneracy of the genetic code in two manners: having more than one tRNA (with a specific anti-codon) for a particular amino acid; and 'wobble' base-pairing, i.e. permitting non-standard base-pairing at the 3rd anti-codon position.
Source: RNAcentral